Long non-coding RNA from Sorex araneus (European shrew), 4547 nucleotides. RefSeq lists it as uncharacterized. Lineage: Eukaryota; Metazoa; Chordata; Mammalia; Eulipotyphla; Soricidae. The transcript has 5 exons. The record is from RefSeq and is a predicted model, not a curated record.
UCUGCGGUCUCUGCGGUCGUUGCGAUUUCUGCGGCCUCUGCGGUCCCUGCGUCUCUGCGUUCUCUGCGGUCUCUGCAGCCUCUGCGGUCCCUGCGGUCCCUGCGGUUCCUGCACGUCCCUGUCCGUCCCUGCCCGUCCCUGCCCUGCCCAACUCUGUCCGUCCCCUCUGCCUCCACCACCAUCGGGGUUCUGGGGCCUCGGAUGAAUCAUGCGGCAAAGUGCUCCCCCACGGCCUCCAGCGCCCGUGCUGAGUCGCGUAGCCUGGACAGGAGGGGAAACUGAGAGCCGCAGCGCUGGGGGCGAACCCACCGCGGCCCGGUCUCCGUGGGCCUCCCGGCCCCGGCGGGCCCCGGGGAAGGGUCCGCUGAGCGGUCCGCGGGGCAGACGUGGGCCCCCGCCCGUGGUGAGAGCCGGGCGCCGCCCGUGUGACCCGGCCGGGGUUGUCACACCCCCGCCACCUCUGCGGCGUUGAAUCCCGCAAGCCGCUGUCUGAGUUCGCUCGCCGCCCACCCAGCAGCGCCUUCGAGGCUCUGUUACGGACCAGCCCGGCGCCGCGCCCCCUGCUCGCCCACCACAACGACCGGGACGGAGCUCCCGGGACCGUCAGGUUGGCGUUGAGGAGCACUCAGCGAGCGGACAGCGCGCCCUCUCUCCUGCAGGGGCCUCGGCCCGCUGCCUGACGCCCCCCUGUGCCCGGGGCGGGGGGCCGCCCGUGGGUAAGCCGCCAUGGGGUGCGGGCACAGAAGCCUCGAGUGCGCCUUGUUUUGCGGGUUUGCGGGGCACCCACAGUGUCCAGGACGCAGCAGGGCCAGAGAGAUGGCACAGUGGGAAGGGUGCUUGUCUUGCAUGCAGCCAACCCCGGUUUGAUUCCUGGCAUCCCAGAUGGCCCCCUGAGCACUGCCAGGAGUGACUCCGGAGGAAGGCCUGAGCACCACUGGGUGUGACCCAUCCUCCCCUCCCCCACCACACCCACACACAAACAGGCCCACAGCCUGGCCAGUAGCCAGCCUUCCACGGUGCUGGGGGAAAGUUCAGCCUGAAGAGAACCAAGGAGACAGCAUCGCCAUCCGCCGUCCCAGGGCGCGGCUCGGCCUGCUGCGGAGCGUCGGACAGGACCCCCGGGUGCCGGGCCCCGGAAGAGGUGCCUUGAGGUGUUCCUGGCCUGUUGCCCACCCCCGCCGCCACCGCCGCCCUGCCUGCUUGCCGCGCCCUUCCUGAAUUCCAUUCUGCCCAAGUCACAGCUUCAGAGUCGCCGCCUUUUCCUCCGACUUUGCACGCGGGAUGGCCCGCGAAGCCCUCUCGGCCGCAGAUGACCUCUCGUUUCGCUCCUGGCUUGGGGGCAAGCGGUGACGUGAGCCUGGUGGGUGCCUCUGCACAGCCCCCAGUGGCGAGGCAGCUCGGCACCACACCGGACCCCAUCGUGGGUGCAUGCUGGCCAUGUUGGGCCCCGGGGACAGAGCCCCCUGUUCGCCACAGAGAUGGCUGCUCGUCUCAGCAAUGUCACCAUCCUGUCUCCGUCCUCCCAAGAAGCAGCCAAAAUGCAGUGCUCCCAGCUGGGGUGCUCCCUGAGGGGGUCUGGGGUGUUCUUCCCCAGUGCACGCUCCUCUCCUAGGUCAGAUGCAGACUGGGAAAAUGAUAGAAUCCAGGUGAAAGGGCUCCACCCUGUCCCCCGUGCCCCUGUAUUACUCCCUAGGGGGCCUUAGAGUAUGGCCUGUGUAUCCCCCGCUCUGUGCCUGCUUCUUGAGAGCUUUGGGAAGCCCCUUUGCAGAUGGACAUAUUGGCAGGAAAACAUCUUUGUCAAAGCAGAAGGGGGCUUGUUUGUUUGUUUGUUUGUUUGUUUGUUUGGGCCACACCUGGGGGUACUCAGGAGUUACUCCUAAUUCAGUGCUCAUGGAUCGCACUCAGGGAACCAUGUGGUUCCAAAGAUCAAACCUGGGCCUCUCUUGGGGCUGGAGUGAUAGCAUAGCGGGGAGGGUGUUUGCUUUGCACUCGGCCCACCCGGGUUCUAUUCCCAGCAUCCCAUAUGGUCCCCCGAGCACCGCCAGGAGUAAUUCCUGAGUGCGUGAGCCAAGAGUAACCUCUGAGCAUCGCCGGGGGUGACCCAAAAAGCAAAAAAACAAAAACAAAAACAAAAAGCAAACAAACAAAAAAAACCUUAAAAACAAAACAAAACAGGGCCUCUUGCAUGCAAAACCUUUGCACCGUCCUUUUGAGCCAUCUCCUUCGCAUGUGGCUUGGUUCGGUAUGAGGGCCACUGAGGCCUGUAUUCGGAGGGCACCUUCUUAGCAGUGCUCAGGGCACCAUAUACAUUGCCAGAGAGAGAGCCGGGGGUUGACAGUGUGCGCGGCCCCUGCUUGGCCUACUGCACUAUCCCCGAAGCCCCUCCUCUUCCUUUGAAAAGCAGAGCUUUGCCUGGGGUGACUGUGCGGCUCUCAGGCCCCGCAGGAGUGUGUCUUUGAUUCCGGCAGGGGGAGCCAGGGGGGCUUUUGUGGGAAGGAAUGACCCCUGCUAAGUAAGGCCCUUUGCCCACUGGCUGGUUUCCCCCACACUCGCCCUUUUCCCGCUGGCCUCGGCCUCACUCCCCUUUCCGGCUGACCUGCAUUCCAAAGUGGUCAGAGCUGCCUGUGCUCUGGUCACGGACGACGCAGGGAGAGGAAUCGGUGAAAGCAGUUUCCCGUGCCUGGAGGGUCCGUUCCCGUCCCUCGCAGGCGCUGGCACCUUCACACACGGCUUGCUCCGCUGCGGCCAUUGCUUUUUGCUCUGCAGCACGGGUGGGGCACGGCUUAGCUGGGCCGCUUAGCUAGUGGAGACCAGACUCCCGCUGCAUCGAGGGUUAGACACUUUAGGAGCUGACGGAGCCCGGAUGAGUCUGGCAGCAUGAGUGAGUUGGAUGGCUGGGGGGCGGGGGGGCCCCCGGAGGGAUGUUUAUAGGGAUCCCGCCCCACCCUGGGAGAUUUUCUAAGGGUGCUGACAUUUUGGAGGUGGUGCCCCUGGGCGGGCGCUGGGAGGAAGCGAGUACAAAGGGCAGCAGCAGCGUGUGGGAGACUCGGGAGUGGGGUGAGCGUGAGUUAUUUGGGGAGACCUGUGCGAGGCCAUCUGCUGAGGUGGGGGGGGUUUCUCUCCCAACAGGGGCAGGCCUCCAGAGAAGGCCUCCAGCGGGCUCUCUGCCAGUCACUACUCUGCCCUGCUCUGACAAGACCCAUCUUAGAUUUUUGAUGCCAGUUUUCAUUCGCCGCUUCUCCGUGAUGAUCGAGAUUCUUUACUUAGCUCUGUGUGUCUUAUUUUGGGGGACCACGCACGUCGGUGCCGGGGAUCAAACCCAGACCCUCUGUGUGCAGGGUUUGGCUGGUCACGGAUCCUCUGUGUGCAGGGCGUGCCCUCACUUAGCCCUUGCUGCCCCCGCUGGCUGAGAUGGUUCGAUGAGCUGCUUCGAAGGGCAGAAAGGGCAGCCGCUCCCGACCUAACUGCGGGCAUUCUCAUGGAUGUCACCCUCAAGGACGAUGAUGAAGGAACUCUGGAGACCACACUUGUUGUGACCUCCCGACCUGAAUGAAGCCUCCUCACCACUCCCGGCUGCUGCCACGGGAUGGAUGGACAGGGGGGCGCACUCAGGACAGUGAUGGGGAAGUGGCUCCCCUGAGAAGCUCCAUCUUCUCUGUGGAUUCUUGAGAAACAGGAAUGGAAGUGUGGCCUUGGGCCUGGCCAGGGCGGAUAUGGGCCAGCCUUCCCUUCAGCCUCCCCUCAAGCCCAGCCGCCAGCGCAUGGUGGCCCUUCAGCUUUUCUCUCGAGGCUGGCCACCAGAGCAUGGUGGCCCUUCAGCUGCCUGUCCAGGUUGGCUGUGAGGACAUGGCUCCCUCUCACGCCAAGUUCCUCCACAGCCAGUCCCUGUUUCCAGGGACAAAGAAGGGAGUGCCUGGGCCCAGGCCCAACAGACACUCAGGUGCUACAUCAGCUUGGGGGUGCUGACAUGGAAAUCCCAAGCUGCUGGGCUCAUUCAACGUUCUCCGUAGUUGAUUUGGGGGUCCUUUAUGCACCCCACGCGGCAGAGUGGUAUUACCACUGGACAUAGUUAUCCCUGGUGCCGCUGUACAGCACGGGUCAAGUUUUCCCUCUGUGUUCACAUGGCAAAGGGAAGGUCCUGGGUCUGCCCCUCCCAGCCCUGUCUCAGGUCUCUUCUUCCAGAUCAGAUGAUCCAAGUGUGAACCCAUUUAUCCUGGGACUCCCUCCCAACUUUCCAUCGUGUUUAUCCCAACUUUCCACUGUGUUUAUUUUAUUUGUUUGGGGGCCACAUCCAGCUACACUCAGAGAUGACUCCUGGCAGACUCUGGGGAGCAUGUAGGGUGCUGGGGAUUGAACCUGGGUUGGCCAUAUGCGAGGCAAGCACCCUGCCCUCUGUUCUAUCUCUCUGGCCCUGCCUUUGUUUCCUGUUCGAGCAAGAGUUCCUAUUGAAAUUUUCAGUGUGUGUGUGUGUGUGUGUGUGUGUGUGUGUGUGUGUGUGUGUGUGUGUGUCUUUCUCCUCUUUCCCACCCAAUAAAUCUUUGACCUGC